RNAcentral lists this ribosomal RNA (440 nucleotides) under uncultured bacterium. RNAcentral's name for it is "partial 16S ribosomal RNA". It matches the Rfam family "Bacterial small subunit ribosomal RNA", at positions 338 to 795 of the family's 1533-position model. The record is from RNAcentral.
CCUACGUGAGGCAGCAGUGGGGAAUAUUGCACAAUGGGGGAAACCCUGAUGCAGCGACGUCGCGUGAGUGAAGACGUAUUUCGGUAUGUAAAGCUCUAUCUGCAGGGAAGUAAAUGACUGUACCUGAUUAAGACUCCCCGUCUAACUACGUGCCGGCAGCGGCGGUAAUACGUCGGGGGCAGGCGUUAUCCGGAUUUACUGGGUGUAAAGGGAGCGUAGACGGCAGCACAAGUCUGGAGUGAAAUGCCGGGGCUUAACCCUGGAACUGCUUUGGAAACUGUGCAGCUAGAGUGCAGGAGAGGUAAGUGGAAUUCCUAGUGUAGCGGUGAAAUGCGUAGAUAUUAGGAGGAACACCAGUGGCGAAGGCGGCUUACUGGACUGUAACUGACGUUGAGGCUCGAAAGCGUGGGGAGCAAACAGGAUUAGAUACCCGUGUAGUC